GACGAACGCUGGCGGCGUGCCUAAUACAUGCAAGUCGAACGCAUUUUCUUUCACCGUAGCUUGCUACACCGAAAGAAAAUGAGUGGCGAACGGGUGAGUAACACGUGGGUAACCUGCCCAUCAGCGGGGGAUAACACUUGGAAACAGGUGCUAAUACCGCAUAAUUCCAUUUACCGCAUGGUAAAUGGAUGAAAGGCGCUUUUGCGUCACUGAUGGAUGGACCCGCGGUGCAUUAGCUAGUUGGUGGGGUAACGGCCUACCAAGGCUGCGAUGCAUAGCCGACCUGAGAGGGUGAUCGGCCACACUGGGACUGAGACACGGCCCAGACUCCUACGGGAGGCAGCAGUAGGGAAUCUUCGGCAAUGGACGCAAGUCUGACCGAGCAACGCCGCGUGAGUGAAGAAGGUUGUCGGAUCGUAAAACUCUGUUGUUAGAGAAGAACAAGGAUGAGAGUGGAAAGUUCAUCCCUUGACGGUAUCUAACCAGAAAGCCACGGCUAACUACGUG
This 507-nucleotide ribosomal RNA is filed under the name uncultured bacterium. RNAcentral describes it as "partial 16S ribosomal RNA". It matches the Rfam family "Bacterial small subunit ribosomal RNA", at positions 28 to 507 of the family's 1533-position model. The record is from RNAcentral.